CGAUGAGAAAAUCUUAGUUAUUUAGUAACAACCCUUUUUUUCAAAAUAAAAAGUGAAAAGGGUUCUGGAAAAACAAUAACUGCUUAUACUACUUUAAUAAACUAAAAAGAUGAGAAGUAAUUAUAAGGACGAAUAACCGUACCUAAAAACUACCACAAGUAAGUUAGUAGAGAAUACGAAGGCGUUUGAGUGAACAAUCAUUAAGGAACUCGGCAAAUUAACUACCGUAACUUCGGGAUAAGGAGAGCCAUUCCUCCUGAUUAAUAUCAGGUAAAGAAGAGGAAGCAUAGAAUAAUGUUGUACGACUGUUUAAUUAAAACAAAGCACUCUGCAGUAAGAUAAUAAAUCAAAGUAUUGAGUGUGAUUUCUGCCCGAUGUCGGCUGGUUAACGGAUUUGCUAAGUUGACUAAUACAGACUUGGUUUUGAAGGAAACCCCGAUCAAUGGCGGCUUU
This 453-nucleotide ribosomal RNA is filed under the name Acidithiobacillus sp. MC6.1. RNAcentral's name for it is "partial 23S ribosomal RNA". It matches the Rfam family "Bacterial large subunit ribosomal RNA", at positions 1496 to 1937 of the family's 2925-position model. Lineage: Bacteria; Pseudomonadati; Pseudomonadota; Acidithiobacillia; Acidithiobacillales; Acidithiobacillaceae. The record is from RNAcentral.